UAGGGAAUCUUCCGCAAUGGACGAAAGUCUGACGGAGCAACGCCGCGUGAGUGAAGAAGGAUUUCGGUUCGUAAAACUCUGUUGUUAGGGAAGAAAAAAUGUAUAGUAACUAUAUACAAAAGAGACGGUACCUAACCAGAAAGCCACGGCUAACUACGUGCCAGCAGCCGCGGUAAUACGUAGGUGGCAAGCGUUGUCCGGAAUUAUUGGGCGUAAAGCGCGCGCAGGUGGAUUAGAAAGUCUGAUGUGAAAGCCCACGGCUCAACCGUGGAGGGUCAUUGGAAACUAAUAAACUUGAGUGCAGGAGAGAAAAGUGGAAUUCCUAGUGUAGCGGUGAAAUGCGUAGAGAUUAGGAGGAACACCGGUGGCGAAAGCGGCUUUUUGGCCUGCAACUGACACUGAGGCGCGAAAGCGUGGGGAGCAAACAGG
RNAcentral lists this ribosomal RNA (429 nucleotides) under Verrucomicrobiota bacterium. Its description in RNAcentral is "Verrucomicrobia bacterium partial 16S ribosomal RNA". It matches the Rfam family "Bacterial small subunit ribosomal RNA", at positions 355 to 776 of the family's 1533-position model. Lineage: Bacteria; Pseudomonadati; Verrucomicrobiota. The record is from RNAcentral.